Molecule: non-coding RNA, 153 nt
Organism: Vibrio splendidus
Lineage: Bacteria; Pseudomonadati; Pseudomonadota; Gammaproteobacteria; Vibrionales; Vibrionaceae
Source: Rfam
CAGUUGCCAUAACUCCGAGCUCUCGCAUGCUAAGUCGCACAGUGGUAUUUGCUGUACCGAUACGCAUCAAGAGCCAGUGACAUGUUGUCACAAGGGCUUAAUUGGAAAUGAUUAUGCCUCCCGUGUUUGGAAAGGUGUUCCGUGGCGCAACAA